GUGCUUGCUUCAGCAGCACAUACACAAAAACUGGAACGAUAUCAAGAAGAUUAGCAAGACCCCUGCACAAGGAUGACACACAAAUUCAUGAAGCGUUAAAAUUAAAG
Molecule: small nuclear RNA, 107 nt
Organism: Cercocebus atys (sooty mangabey)
Lineage: Eukaryota; Metazoa; Chordata; Mammalia; Primates; Cercopithecidae
Source: Ensembl